GAGUACCCAGAAGGAUCCAUCCCUUGGUCCUUGUGUAGCUGUCCCUGCAGGAGAAUCAACAUGAGAGGAGAUGCAGGUGCCUGCAGUUGCAUUUUCAGAAUAAAAGAUAAUUGACCACCAGAACAGUUCUUGUCUUCUAAGAUGGUCAUUCCCAGCUGCUCCAGUGCUGUAGCACAUGGGACACUGUUCAAGACACCUGAGGUCCACAUGCUGCAUCAUGGUCUGGAGACAAGAUUUGUACACACCACACCAUAAUACGCCAUUUCCCAAUCAUCAUACCAGCAAUGUGUGAACCUGUCUGGUACAAGAACUGUCUGCAUAUUGUGCUCAUGCCUAAUGUUCAGCUGAAGAAAGGUGCUGAAUAAUCUGUACAUUCAAAGAAAAUGCCGCAAGAAGUAAAGAAAAUGUGAAGCAAGAAAACCCACAGUGUUAUUGCCUUAGGCACUGUGGAAUGGGUUGGAUAGAAAACAAAAGAAGAUGGUCUGACAUCCAAACAGCUGAAGAUGAGACAGGUGCCAGGAGGGUUGAAGGCAGAAGCUGGGAAUUGUGGGGCUGCAAAGAGGCAGAAGUGGAAGGACAAGGUCAAGACAAAGGGUUUUGCCACGAGGCCCCUGACACAAAGAAGGAACACCGGUUUCUUUGGG
Molecule: long non-coding RNA, 644 nt
Organism: Passer domesticus (house sparrow)
Lineage: Eukaryota; Metazoa; Chordata; Aves; Passeriformes; Passeridae
Exons: 3
Source: RefSeq, a predicted model, not a curated record